This 499-nucleotide ribosomal RNA is filed under the name uncultured bacterium. RNAcentral describes it as "partial 16S ribosomal RNA". It matches the Rfam family "Bacterial small subunit ribosomal RNA", at positions 28 to 507 of the family's 1533-position model. The record is from RNAcentral.
GACGAACGCUGGCGGCGUGCCUAAUACAUGCAAGUCGUGCGGACCUUUUAAAAGCUUGCUUUUAAAAGGUUAGCGGCGGACGGGUGAGUAACACGUGGGCAACCUGCCUGUAAGACUGGGAUAACGCCGGGAAACCGGGGCUAAUACCAGAUCGUUUUUUCCUCCGCAUGGAGGAAAAAGGAAAGGCGGCUUCGGCUGCCACUUACAGAUGGGCCCGCGGCGCAUUAGCUAGUUGGCGGGGUAACGGCCCACCAAGGCAACGAUGCGUAGCCGACCUGAGAGGGUGCUCGGCCACAUUGGGACUGAGACACGGCCCAAACUCCUACGGGAGGCAGCAGUAGGGAAUCUUCCGCAAUGGACGAAAGUCUGACGGAGCAACGCCGCGUGAGUGAAGAAGGCCUUCGGGUCGUAAAACUCUGUUGCCGGGGAAGAACAAGUGCCGUUCGAACAGGGCGGCGCCUUGACGGUACCCGGCCAGAAAGCCACGGCUAACUACGUG